Molecule: ribosomal RNA, 2928 nt
Filed under: Salmonella enterica subsp. enterica serovar Enteritidis
Lineage: Bacteria; Pseudomonadati; Pseudomonadota; Gammaproteobacteria; Enterobacterales; Enterobacteriaceae
Description: 23S ribosomal RNA
Rfam family: Bacterial large subunit ribosomal RNA
Source: RNAcentral
GGGUUGUGAGGUUAAGCGACUAAGCGUACACGGUGGAUGCCCUGGCAGUCAGAGGCGAUGAAGGGCGUGCUAAUCUGCGAUAAGCGCCGGUAAGGUGAUAUGAACCGUUAUAACCGGCGAUACCCGAAUGGGGAAACCCAGUGUGAUUCGUCACACUAUCAUUAACUGAAUCCAUAGGUUAAUGAGGCGAACCGGGGGAACUGAAACAUCUAAGUACCCCGAGGAAAAGAAAUCAACCGAGAUUCCCCCAGUAGCGGCGAGCGAACGGGGAGGAGCCCAGAGCCUGAAUCAGCAUGUGUGUUAGUGGAAGCGUCUGGAAAGGCGCGCGAUACAGGGUGACAGCCCCGUACACAAAAGCGCAUGUGCUGUGAGCUCGAUGAGUAGGGCGGGACACGUGGUAUCCUGUCUGAAUAUGGGGGGACCAUCCUCCAAGGCUAAAUACUCCUGACUGACCGAUAGUGAACCAGUACCGUGAGGGAAAGGCGAAAAGAACCCCGGCGAGGGGAGUGAAAAAGAACCUGAAACCGUGUACGUACAAGCAGUGGGAGCACAGGUUUACCUGUGUGACUGCGUACCUUUUGUAUAAUGGGUCAGCGACUUAUAUUCUGUAGCAAGGUUAACCGAAUAGGGGAGCCGGAGGGAAACCGAGUCUUAAUUGGGCGUUAAGUUGCAGGGUAUAGACCCGAAACCCGGUGAUCUAGCCAUGGGCAGGUUGAAGGUUGGGUAACACUAACUGGAGGACCGAACCGACUAAUGUUGAAAAAUUAGCGGAUGACCUGUGGCUGGGGGUGAAAGGCCAAUCAAACCGGGAGAUAGCUGGUUCUCCCCGAAAGCUAUUUAGGUAGCGCCUCGUGAAUUCAUCUCCGGGGGUAGAGCACUGUUUCGGCUAGGGGGCCAUCCCGGCUUACCAACCCGAUGCAAACUGCGAAUACCGGAGAAUGUUAUCACGGGAGACACACGGCGGGUGCUAACGUCCGUCGUGAAGAGGGAAACAACCCAGACCGCCAGCUAAGGUCCCAAAGUCAUGGUUAAGUGGGAAACGAUGUGGGAAGGCCCAGACAGCCAGGAUGUUGGCUUAGAAGCAGCCAUCAUUUAAAGAAAGCGUAAUAGCUCACUGGUCGAGUCGGCCUGCGCGGAAGAUGUAACGGGGCUAAACCAUGCACCGAAGCUGCGGCAGCGACACUGUGUGUUGUUGGGUAGGGGAGCGUUCUGUAAGCCUGUGAAGGUGGCCUGUGAGGGUUGCUGGAGGUAUCAGAAGUGCGAAUGCUGACAUAAGUAACGAUAAAGCGGGUGAAAAGCCCGCUCGCCGGAAGACCAAGGGUUCCUGUCCAACGUUAAUCGGGGCAGGGUGAGUCGACCCCUAAGGCGAGGCCGAAAGGCGUAGUCGAUGGGAAACGGGUUAAUAUUCCCGUACUUGGUGUUACUGCGAAGGGGGGACGGAGAAGGCUAUGUUGGCCGGGCGACGGUUGUCCCGGUUUAAGCGUGUAGGUGUGUGUUCCAGGUAAAUCCGGUUCACUUUAACACUGAGGCGUGACGACGAGGCACUACGGUGCUGAAGCAACAAAUGCCCUGCUUCCAGGAAAAGCCUCUAAGCAUCAGGUAACAUCAAAUCGUACCCCAAACCGACACAGGUGGUCAGGUAGAGAAUACCAAGGCGCUUGAGAGAACUCGGGUGAAGGAACUAGGCAAAAUGGUGCCGUAACUUCGGGAGAAGGCACGCUGACACGUAGGUGAAGUGAUUUACUCAUGGAGCUGAAGUCAGUCGAAGAUACCAGCUGGCUGCAACUGUUUAUUAAAAACACAGCACUGUGCAAACACGAAAGUGGACGUAUACGGUGUGACGCCUGCCCGGUGCCGGAAGGUUAAUUGAUGGGGUCAGCGCAAGCGAAGCUCCUGAUCGAAGCCCCGGUAAACGGCGGCCGUAACUAUAACGGUCCUAAGGUAGCGAAAUUCCUUGUCGGGUAAGUUCCGACCUGCACGAAUGGCGUAAUGAUGGCCAGGCUGUCUCCACCCGAGACUCAGUGAAAUUGAACUCGCUGUGAAGAUGCAGUGUACCCGCGGCAAGACGGAAAGACCCCGUGAACCUUUACUAUAGCUUGACACUGAACAUUGAGCCUUGAUGUGUAGGAUAGGUGGGAGGCUUUGAAGUGUGGACGCCAGUCUGCAUGGAGCCGACCUUGAAAUACCACCCUUUAAUGUUUGAUGUUCUAACGUGGACCCGUGAUCCGGGUUGCGGACAGUGUCUGGUGGGUAGUUUGACUGGGGCGGUCUCCUCCUAAAGAGUAACGGAGGAGCACGAAGGUUGGCUAAUCCUGGUCGGACAUCAGGAGGUUAGUGCAAUGGCAUAAGCCAGCUUGACUGCGAGCGUGACGGCGCGAGCAGGUGCGAAAGCAGGUCAUAGUGAUCCGGUGGUUCUGAAUGGAAGGGCCAUCGCUCAACGGAUAAAAGGUACUCCGGGGAUAACAGGCUGAUACCGCCCAAGAGUUCAUAUCGACGGCGGUGUUUGGCACCUCGAUGUCGGCUCAUCACAUCCUGGGGCUGAAGUAGGUCCCAAGGGUAUGGCUGUUCGCCAUUUAAAGUGGUACGCGAGCUGGGUUUAGAACGUCGUGAGACAGUUCGGUCCCUAUCUGCCGUGGGCGCUGGAGAACUGAGGGGGGCUGCUCCUAGUACGAGAGGACCGGAGUGGACGCAUCACUGGUGUUCGGGUUGUCAUGCCAAUGGCACUGCCCGGUAGCUAAAUGCGGAAGAGAUAAGUGCUGAAAGCAUCUAAGCACGAAACUUGCCCCGAGAUGAGUUCUCCCUGAGACUUAAAGUCUCCUGAAGGAACGUUGAAGACGACGACGUUGAUAGGCCGGGUGUGUAAGCGCAGCGAUGCGUUGAGCUAACCGGUACUAAUGAACCGUGAGGCUUAACCUUACAACGCCGAAG